This 468-nucleotide ribosomal RNA is filed under the name uncultured bacterium. RNAcentral describes it as "partial 16S ribosomal RNA". It matches the Rfam family "Bacterial small subunit ribosomal RNA", at positions 28 to 507 of the family's 1533-position model. The record is from RNAcentral.
GACGAACGCUGGCGGCGUGCUUAACACAUGCAAGUCGAACGGAAAGGCCCUGCUUUUGUGGGGUGCUCGAGUGGCGAACGGGUGAGUAACACGUGAGUAACCUGCCCUUGACUUUGGGAUAACUUCAGGGAACUGGGGCUAAUACCGGAUAGGAGCUCCUGCUGCAUGGUGGGGGUUGGAAAGUUUCGGCGGUUGGGGAUGGACUCGCGGCUUAUCAGCUUGUUGGUGGGGUAGUGGCUUACCAAGGCUUUGACGGGUAGCCGGCCUGAGAGGGUGACCGGCCACAUUGGGACUGAGAUACGGCCCAGACUCCUACGGGAGGCAGCAGUGGGGAAUAUUGCACAAUGGGCGGAAGCCUGAUGCAGCAACGCCGCGUGCGGGAUGACGGCCUUCGGGUUGUAAACCGCUUUCGCCUGUGACGAAGCGUGAGUGGCGGUAAUGGGUAAAGAAGCACCGGCUAACUACGUG